This is a non-coding RNA of Podarcis lilfordi (Lilford's wall lizard), 70 nucleotides long. NCBI's taxonomy places the organism in Eukaryota, Metazoa, Chordata, Lepidosauria, Squamata, Lacertidae. The record is from the annotation of a GenBank genome assembly.
GGGUUAGCUCAAUAGGUAGAACUUAAGACUCUUAAUCCUAGGGGCAUGAGUUCAAGCCCCACAUUGGGCA